This 493-nucleotide ribosomal RNA is filed under the name uncultured bacterium. Its description in RNAcentral is "partial 16S ribosomal RNA". It matches the Rfam family "Bacterial small subunit ribosomal RNA", at positions 899 to 1397 of the family's 1533-position model. The record is from RNAcentral.
ACUCAAAUGAAUUGACGGGGAGGCACACAACCAGUGGAACAUGUGGUUCAAUUCGAAACGAACCGAAGAACCUCACCAGGGUUUGACAUCCAAGAGUUCACGCUCUGAUGAAAGUCGGAGUAUCCGCAAGGAGGCUUGGACAGGUGCUGCAUGGCUGUCGUCAGCUCGUUCCGUGAGGAGUACCCUUAAGUGGGACAACGAGCGCAACCCCCAUCUGCUGUUAAAUAUGUCAGCAGAGACUGCCCGAACUUAGUUCGGGAGGAAGGAGGGGCAGACGUCAAGUCAGCAUGGCCCUUAUACCCUGGGCCACACACAUGUUACAAUGGAUAGAAACAGUGGGUUUGCUAAGUCGCAAGAUGGAGCGAAUCCCAAAAACCUAUCCUCAGUAGGGAUUGAGGUCUGCAACUCGACCUCAUGAACAUGGAAUUGGUAGUAAUCGCAGAUCAGUCAUGCCGCGGUGAAUACGUUCUUGCCUCUUGCACACACCGCCCGU